RNAcentral lists this ribosomal RNA (253 nucleotides) under uncultured bacterium. RNAcentral's name for it is "partial 16S ribosomal RNA". It matches the Rfam family "Bacterial small subunit ribosomal RNA", at positions 524 to 776 of the family's 1533-position model. The record is from RNAcentral.
UACGUAGGGUGCGAGCGUUGUCCGGAAUUAUUGGGCGUAAAGAGCUUGUAGGCGGUCUGUCGCGUCUGCUGUGAAAAUCCGGGGCUCAACCCCGGACUUGCAGUGGGUACGGGCAGACUAGAGUGUGGUAGGGGAGACUGGAAUUCCUGGUGUAGCGGUGAAAUGCGCAGAUAUCAGGAGGAACACCGGUGGCGAAGGCGGCUUUCUGGACGACAACUGACGCUGAGACGCGAAAGCGUGGGGAGCAAACAGG